GACGAACGCUGGCGGCGUGCUUAACACAUGCAAGUCGAACGGAAAGGCCCUGCUUUUGUGGGGUGCUCGAGUGGCGAACGGGUGAGUGACACGUGAGUAACCUGCCCUUGACUUUGGGAUAACUUCAGGAAACUGGGGCUAAUACCGGAUAGGAGCUCCUGCUGCAUGGUGGGGGUUGGAAAGUUUCGGCGGGUGGGGAUGGACUCGCGGCUUAUCAGCUUGUUGGUGGGGUAGUGGCUUACCAAGGCUUUGACGGAUAGCCGGCCUGAGAGGGUGACCGGCCACAUGGGGACUGAGAGACGGCCCAGACGCCUACGGGAGGCAGCAGUGGGGAAUAUUGCACAAUGGGCGGAAGCCUGAUGCAGCAACGCCGCGGGCGGGAUGACGGCCUUCGGGGUGUAAACCGCUUUCGCCUGUGACGAAGCGUGAGUGACGGUAAUGGGUAAAGAAGCACCGGCUAACUACGUG
Molecule: ribosomal RNA, 468 nt
Filed under: uncultured bacterium
Lineage: Bacteria
Description: partial 16S ribosomal RNA
Rfam family: Bacterial small subunit ribosomal RNA
Source: RNAcentral